RNAcentral lists this ribosomal RNA (253 nucleotides) under uncultured bacterium. Its description in RNAcentral is "partial 16S ribosomal RNA". It matches the Rfam family "Bacterial small subunit ribosomal RNA", at positions 524 to 776 of the family's 1533-position model. The record is from RNAcentral.
UACGUAGGGGGCAAGCGUUACUCGGAAUUACUGGGCGUAAAGCGUGCGCAGGCGGCUUUGCAAGACAGAUGUGAAAUCCCCGGGCUUAACCUGGGAACUGCAUUUGUGACUGCAUGGCUGGAGUGCGGCAGAGGGGGAUGGAAUUCCGCGUGUAGCAGUGAAAUGCGUAGAUAUGCGGAGGAACACCGAUGGCGAAGGCAAUCCCCUGGGCCUGCACUGACGCUCAUGCACGAAAGCGUGGGGAGCAAACAGG